RNAcentral lists this ribosomal RNA (566 nucleotides) under uncultured bacterium. Its description in RNAcentral is "bacterial SSU rRNA". It matches the Rfam family "Bacterial small subunit ribosomal RNA", at positions 338 to 917 of the family's 1533-position model. The record is from RNAcentral.
CCUACGGGAGGCAGCAGCAGGGAAUAUUGUGCAAUGAGCGAAAGCUUGACACAGCGACACCGCGUGUGGGAUGACGGUUCUAGGAUUGUAAACCACUUUCAGGAGGGAAGAAAAUGACGGUACCUCCACAAGAAGACCCGGCCAACUAUGUGCCAGCAGCCGCGGUAAUACAUAGGGGUCAAGCGCUGUCCGGAUUUAUUGGGCGUAAAGAGCUCGUAGGCGGUUCAACAAGUCGGUCGUAAAAGUUUAGGGCUCAACCCUAAAAUGUCGAUCGAUACUGUUGUGACUAGGAUACGGUAGAGGUGAAUGGAAUUCCGAGUGUAGCGGUGAAAUGCGUAGAUAUUCGGAGGAACACCAAUUGCGAAGGCAGUUCACUGGACCGUGAUCGACGCUGAGGAGCGAAAGCUAGGGGAGCAAACAGGAUUAGAUACCCUGGUAGUCCUAGCUGUAAACGAUGGAUACUAGAUGUAGGAACUGGAUUGACGGUUUCUGUAUCGUAGCUAACGCGUUAAGUAUCCCGCCUGGAGAGUACGGUCGCAAGACUAAAACUCAAAGGAAUUGACGGA